UACGUAGGGUGCGAGCGUUGUCCGGAAUUAUUGGGCGUAAAGAGCUUGUAGGCGGUUUGUCGCGUCCGCCGUGAAAAUCCGAGGCUCAACCUCGGACUUGCGGUGGGUACGGGCAGACUAGAGUGUGGUAGGGGAGACUGGAAUUCCUGGUGUAGCGGUGAAAUGCGCAGAUAUCAGGAGGAACACCGAUGGCGAAGGCAGGUCUCUGGGCCACUACUGACGCUGAGAAGCGAAAGCAUGGGGAGCGAACAGG
RNAcentral lists this ribosomal RNA (253 nucleotides) under uncultured bacterium. RNAcentral's name for it is "partial 16S ribosomal RNA". It matches the Rfam family "Bacterial small subunit ribosomal RNA", at positions 524 to 776 of the family's 1533-position model. The record is from RNAcentral.